AUUGUACUCUCUUCAUUCAGAAAUACUUAUCAUCAAAAUGAAUAAAAAAGAAUGUAUGUAGAUGCAUUUUAGUUCUAGAUACAUUCAUUUUUGUUCAUUUUGAUGGCAAGUAUUUUUGGACAAAGGUAGAAAAAG
Molecule: non-coding RNA, 135 nt
Organism: Triticum urartu
Lineage: Eukaryota; Viridiplantae; Streptophyta; Magnoliopsida; Poales; Poaceae
Source: Rfam